RNAcentral lists this ribosomal RNA (563 nucleotides) under Nonomuraea sp. 418D11. Its description in RNAcentral is "bacterial SSU rRNA". It matches the Rfam family "Bacterial small subunit ribosomal RNA", at positions 93 to 672 of the family's 1533-position model. The record is from RNAcentral. Lineage: Bacteria; Bacillati; Actinomycetota; Actinomycetes; Streptosporangiales; Streptosporangiaceae.
GAGCGGCGAACGGGUGAGUAACACGUGAGCAACCUGCCCCUGACUCUGGGAUAAGCCUGGGAAACCGGGUCUAAUACCGGAUAUGACCGUCUCCGGCAUCGGAUGACGGUGGAAAGAUUUUUUGGUCGGGGAUGGGCUCGCGGCCUAUCAGCUUGUUGGUGGGGUAGUGGCCUACCAAGGCGACGACGGGUAGCCGGCCUGAGAGGGCGACCGGCCACACUGGGACUGAGACACGGCCCAGACUCCUACGGGAGGCAGCAGUGGGGAAUAUUGCGCAAUGGGCGGAAGCCUGACGCAGCGACGCCGCGUGGGGGAUGACGGCCUUCGGGUUGUAAACCUCUUUCAGCAGGGACGAAGGUGACGUGUACCUGCAGAAGAAGCGCCGGCUAACUACGUGCCAGCAGCCGCGGUAAUACGUAGGGCGCAAGCGUUGUCCGGAAUUAUUGGGCGUAAAGAGCUCGUAGGUGGCUGGUCGCGUCUGCCGGGAAAGCCCCGCAGCUUAACUGCGGGUCUGCGGUGNAUACGGNCCGGCUAGAGGUAGGUAGGGGCAAGUNGGAUUUCCU